CAGCAGUGUACUAGAUACACUUCCGCCAGAUAUGGACACAAAUGUCAAGUCUCCCACAUCUUGCCCACACUGGCUAUUAUCAACUUUUUUUAACUUCUGCCAAACUGAUAGACAAAGACCAAUAUCUCAUUUUGCUAUGAAUUAUGUACUUUUUUUUUUUUUUUUUUUUUUAAACCAAGCCUAGUUGUGUUUUCUGCAGUAAGAGGUUGUAUCGUUUGGCUUUGGGACUCCUGCUUUGCUCGUAGUCAUCAGUACAUUGCUGGAUGUUGUUGAAUCUUUUGCUGCAGUCUAUUCCCCUACCUGAGCACAGGGGUCAUUGCUUUCGGUCUCUGACAUAGAUUCUCAAUAUAUUUACACACACAUAAUCACAAGCCUUAAUCACACAUAUACCACAUUAUAUACAUGCAAUCACAUACAUGUGCACACCACAUCACACACAAAAUCACACAUGCAAUCAUUCACACACACCACAUCACAUUAUAGAGUGUCAUUGUAAAGCAUGAAAAUGAAAUCAGUGUUCUGCCCCCUAGUUUAGAGACCCAUCAAAUUGCUGGAACACUUCAAAAACUCCCUGACGAUUGUAGCCUUUCUCAGGUGCCAGCCUCAUCAUUUCAGUUCUCUGGAACCUCCCUCUAGAAACUUGUUUUUGCAAGCUGAGAGCUAUUUCCCUCUUGUUGGACAUAUUUGCACUCUCAUAGCACAAAUCACGACUGCAGUGCCUGCAUUGGCCCAAAAUUCAACUCUUAUUUCAGUUUUCUACCUCACUGCAAUACCUUCUGGAUAUCUUUACAAUGUCAACAUCCAAUUUCACAAAAAAAGUCCAGUGGAAUGAGCUGUCUCUUCAGGAAUAAAUCAGAAGAGAAAAGGUACAACUUAGGAGCAAAACAAGUCCUGGAUUUAAAACCAUGGCAAGCAGACUUCUCCACCGGGUACAAGAAAUAUUGCUGGUUACCUUGUGUUUAUGUCUCCAAAAUGAGUAUGAACUAAACUGUUUUGAAAGCCAAAGAAGUCAAUUUUUGUGACACAAGACUAGGCUAGAAAAGAUGGCAAAGAUUUCAAGAAAUCUGAAACUGUUUUCAAAAAAUCUAUCCAAAUAUGAGGGAGCACAGAAAAAAUCUUUUAAACAGAUUAUUAGAGUUCAUGAAUUUACAGCUUUAUAAUUAUUUCAGUCCGCACUGAGGAAGUAGGCUGUACAACAGCCCUCUUAAAUUUUUUUUAUUGCUUUCUCAAAUACAUUUUACAGAAUUGACUUUACAAUCCAUUGACUGGUCAGUUCUUGCUGGGCUGAAUCAAUUGAUUAAAUGGAGAAAAUAAUAUAUAAUGUUUCCCUCAGGGGAAUGAUGAGAAUUAUGAUGUCAACUUUCACAAAAAUGGGCUGUAGCUUUUAUCUGCCUACUUUUGUUAAACUAUUUUUAAAAUUAAUUUAAGCAGUCUAUUAGUUCAAUAAAUGUUCAAUUUUAAAUACUAAAAGUUAUUACACUAUAAACCAUGAGAUAAAGAAUAUAUUUUGAUAAAAAGCCCCCAAAUUUCACCAACCAGACAGCUGAGACUCCCAAGUCUUCAUGAUAUCAUAUUGCAGUUAACAAUUAUGUCUAUUUAUAUAUUUACAAAGUCACUGUGAUAUCUGAGUAAUGGGUAAGUCAGGCUUUACCUUGUAAAUUAAGUCCUGCAAACUGACAAUGUUUUAAGAACUCUUAUUGUGCUCACUACUCAUUGCAGGUAUCUGAUAUGUCUGUUUUUUCUCCUCCCUAGAUUAUGCUAUUUUGUUAUAAUUUUUAAUCUUCUUAUUCUAACAAUUUUGAUACCUCAGUCCUUUCCAGAGAUGGAAGAGAUACCAGUCAAUCACAAAUAAAUAAAGAAUGUAUGUGAACCAGAUGCUUAUGGCAUAGAUCAUUUUUAUAGGCAUGACAAUUAGGUGGCUACCAUUUAAGGUAUGUUCCUAGAAUAUUUUACAGUAUAUUUUCCAGUCUUAAUUACAAACUUUAGAAAAUAAUUUGAAUAAAAUAGAAAAUGUCUACAGUAUUAUGGAAUUUCCUUCUCAUCAUAUUUGAGAAUCUGUUGUAAAAGCAUGUAAUUAGAACAAAACAAAAAUACUUGCUGACACAUUUUUCUAGGACUUCUGGCCAAAGCAAUAAGGCAAGAAAAAUAAAUGAAACUGAUUAGAAAAUAUAUUAGUAAUAUAAAAUUAGUAGCUAAAAACAAAAUUUUAUUAGCUUAUCGUUCUGGA
Long non-coding RNA from Macaca fascicularis (crab-eating macaque), 2227 nucleotides. The record is from Ensembl. Lineage: Eukaryota; Metazoa; Chordata; Mammalia; Primates; Cercopithecidae.